UACGUAGGGUGCGAGCGUUAAUCGGAAUUACUGGGCGUAAAGCGUGCGCAGGCGGUUUUGUAAGCCAGAUGUGAAAUCCCCGGGCUCAACCUGGGAAUGGCAUUGGAAACUGGCGGACUCGAGUGUGGCAGAGGGGGGUGGAAUUCCGCGUGUAGCAGUGAAAUGCGUAGAGAUGCGGAGGAACACCAAUGGCGAAGGCAGCCUUCUGGGCCAACACUGACGCUCAUGCACGAAAGCGUGGGGAGCAAACAGG
RNAcentral lists this ribosomal RNA (253 nucleotides) under uncultured bacterium. Its description in RNAcentral is "partial 16S ribosomal RNA". It matches the Rfam family "Bacterial small subunit ribosomal RNA", at positions 524 to 776 of the family's 1533-position model. The record is from RNAcentral.